RNAcentral lists this ribosomal RNA (253 nucleotides) under uncultured bacterium. Its description in RNAcentral is "partial 16S ribosomal RNA". It matches the Rfam family "Bacterial small subunit ribosomal RNA", at positions 524 to 776 of the family's 1533-position model. The record is from RNAcentral.
CACGUAGGAGGCGAGCGUUGUCCGGAAUCAUUGGGCGUAAAGAGCGCGCAGGCGGCUUGGCAAGUCGGGUGUGAAAUCCCGGGGCUCAACCCCGUGACUGCAUCCGAUACUGUCAGGCUAGAGGUAGGUAGGGGAGAUCGGAAUUCCUGGUGUAGUGGUGAAAUGCGCAGAUAUCAGGAGGAACACCGGUGGCGAAGGCGGAUCUCUGGGCCUUACCCGACGCUCAGGCGCGAAAGCUAGGGGAGCGAACAGG